Molecule: ribosomal RNA, 497 nt
Filed under: uncultured bacterium
Lineage: Bacteria
Description: partial 16S ribosomal RNA
Rfam family: Bacterial small subunit ribosomal RNA
Source: RNAcentral
GAUGAACGCUGGCGGCGUGCCUAAUACAUGCAAGUCGAGCGAACAGACGAGGAGCUUGCUCCUCUGACGUUAGCGGCGGACGGGUGAGUAACACGUGGAUAACCUACCUAUAAGACUGGGAUAACUUCGGGAAACCGGAGCUAAUACCGGAUAAUAUAUUAAACCGCAUGGUUCAAUAGUGAAAGACGGUUUUGCUGUCACUUAUAGAUGGAUCCGCGCCGCAUUAGCUAGUUGGUAAGGUAACGGCUUACCAAGGCAACGAUGCGUAGCCGACCUGAGAGGGUGAUCGGCCACACUGGAACUGAGACACGGUCCAGACUCCUACGGGAGGCAGCAGUAGGGAAUCUUCCGCAAUGGGCGAAAGCCUGACGGAGCAACGCCGCGUGAAUGAUGAAGGUCUUCGGAUCGUAAAACUCUGUUAUUAGGGAAGAACAAAUGUGUAAGUAACUAUGCACGUCUUGACGGUACCUAAUCAGAAAGCCACGGCUAACUACGUG